GCGGCUGUGGUGUAGUGGUAACACACCAGCUAUCCAAGCUUGAAAUGGGAGUUCGAUUCUCUCCAGCCGCU
This 71-nucleotide transfer RNA is filed under the name Fuerstiella sp. Its description in RNAcentral is "tRNA-Gly". It matches the Rfam family "tRNA". From Rfam's summary of the family: Transfer RNA (tRNA) molecules are approximately 80 nucleotides in length. Their secondary structure includes four short double-helical elements and three loops (D, anti-codon, and T loops). The record is from RNAcentral. Lineage: Bacteria; Pseudomonadati; Planctomycetota; Planctomycetia; Planctomycetales; Planctomycetaceae.